This 1246-nucleotide ribosomal RNA is filed under the name 'Corchorus olitorius' phytoplasma. Its description in RNAcentral is "bacterial SSU rRNA". It matches the Rfam family "Bacterial small subunit ribosomal RNA", at positions 153 to 1399 of the family's 1533-position model. The record is from RNAcentral. Lineage: Bacteria; Bacillati; Mycoplasmatota; Mollicutes; Acholeplasmatales; Acholeplasmataceae.
GAAACGACUGCUAAGACUGGAUAGGAAGAUAAAAGGCAUCUUUUAUCUUUUAAAAGACCUAGUAAUAGGUAUGCUUUAGGAGGGGCUUGCGCCAUAUUAGUUAGUUGGUAGGGUAAUGGCCUACCAAGACGAUGAUGUGUAGCUGGACUGAGAGGUUGAACAGCCACAUUGGGACUGAGACACGGCCCAAACUCCUACGGGAGGCAGCAGUAGGGAAUUUUCGGCAAUGGAGGAAACUCUGACCGAGCAACGCCGCGUGAAUGACGAAGUACUUCGGUAUGUAAAGUUCUUUUAUCAAGGAAGAAAAGCAAAUGGCGAACCAUUUGUUUGCCGGUACUUGAUGAAUAAGCCCCGGCUAAUUAUGUGCCAGCAGCCGCGGUAAGACAUAAGGGGCAAGUGUUAUCCGGAAUUAUUGGGCGUAAAGGGUGCGUAGGCGGUCUAGUAAGUCAGUGGUGUAAUGGCAACGCUUAACGUUGUCCGGCUAUUGAAACUGCUAAACUUGAGUUAGAUAGAGGCGAGUGGAAUUCCAUGUGUAGCGGUAAAAUGCGUAAAUAUAUGGAGGAACACCAGAGGCGUAGGCGGCUCGCUGGGUCUUAACUGACGCUGAGGCACGAAAGCGUGGGGAGCAAACAGGAUUAGAUACCCUGGUAGUCCACGCCGUAAACGAUGAGUACUAAGUGUCGGGUUAAACCGGUACUGAAGUUAACACAUUAAGUACUCCGCCUGAGUAGUACGUACGCAAGUAUGAAACUUAAAGGAAUUGACGGGACUCCGCACAAGCGGUGGAUCAUGUUGUUUAAUUCGAAGAUACCCGAAAAACCUUACCAGGUCUUGACAUGUUUUUGCAAAAUGAUAGUAAUAUCGUGGAGGUUACCAGAAACACAGGUGGUGCAUGGUUGUCGUCAGCUCGUGUCGUGAGAUGUUAGGUUAAGUCCUAAAACGAGCGAAACCCUUAUCGUUAGUUGCCAGCACGUUAUGGUGGGGACUUUAACGAGACUGCCAAUGAUAAAUUGGAGGAAGGUGAGGAUCACGUCAAAUCAGCAUGCCCCUUAUGACCUGGGCUACAAACGUGAUACAAUGGCUGUUACAAAGGGUAGCUGAAACGCAAGUUCUUGGCCAAUCCCCAAGAACAGUCCCAGUCCGGAUAGAAGUCUGCAACUCGACUUCAUGAAGUUGGAAUCGCUAGUAAUCGCGAAUCAGCAUGUCGCGGUGAAUACGUUCACGGGUUUGUACACACCGCCCGUCA